RNAcentral lists this long non-coding RNA (2048 nucleotides) under Olea europaea subsp. europaea. Lineage: Eukaryota; Viridiplantae; Streptophyta; Magnoliopsida; Lamiales; Oleaceae. The record is from RNAcentral.
UUUAGUUUUGGGAAUUCCAUAUUCUGAUUUUUUUGAGGUAACUCUUUUACCUUUGUUUAUAUGCUUAUUCUUUGUUCUCUGUGUCUAUUAGUUUGUUUCUGAACCGAAAUUAACUUGUUCUUAAAUUCAUUCUUUUGAUUUGAUUUUUUGAAUAUCAAGUUUAUUCCUAUUUUUAACUUCUGUGGUUUAAAUAGUGUCUGCCAAUAAUGUUGUGAGAAUGCAAUUUAUUAGUUCCAUGGUUCAUGUAGUGGACCUCCAUGAUUUCCCCAUUAGUAUCAUUGCUUGACGUAUGGCAAACAUCGAAUUAGUUGGAGCAGACCUCGAUUUGGCUCCAGAUCCCAAUCUCAACAUCUUGAGUGGUCAUCAGGUAAACGGAGUAGGACAAAUAUAAACUCUUCAUAAAAAAAAAAAACAAUGAAUCAAUAUUUUCAUAUGCAUUGAGUAUUAUUUAUGAGUUGCUUCUCAUGUUCUGUGAAUAGCUGUGACAUGAGGAACAAAAGCAUUUAACAACUUGGACUAAUUCUAUAUUUGUUCCUUCCAGAUAAGGAAAAAAAGGAUGUGAAAGAAUAUAUUUUUCUUCUAAGUUGUUGAAUUUCUUUUAUUUAUCGAUAUGUGAUAUUCCAACUCUUCAUCACUACUGAAAUCCAUAUGAUAUUGCGAUUAAUUCGUUUUUGCCUAAACUCAAUUACUCAAACAAAACUAGAUCUUCAUUAUUUAUUUGUUUUUUCCUUUUUACUAUUUUAACUGAGUGAAUAUCAUAUCCUAAUGCGUUUGAUUAAUUUUGGGGUUUCACUUGCACACAAUAGCCUAUAUCGAAGGAGACAAGUACUAUGGUACAAAAGCAACUAUUAAUGUUUGGGAACCUAAAAUACAGCAGCAUCAUAACAAGUUCAAUUUGUCCCAAAUUUGGUUACUGGGUGGCUCAUUUGGUGAAGAUCUCAAUAGCAUUAAAGCUGGUUGGUAGGUAUAUUUGUCACCAAAUUACUUGGUCGAUCAUAAUUUGUUGCAUUCAUCUAACGGAUUAGAAUGCAUGUUAUUUCAAGUUAGCUCCGAUUUAAGUACAUAUCUAUAGAAAAUUUAAAAAAGAAUGCCAUUUCACAUUAAAUAGAAGUUAAUUAUAAGUACAAAAACUCGAAGAAAGCAUUUAAUGGAUGUUCUUAACAGUUAGUCUUGUGUUUUGGAACAUGCUUAUAUUAUGUGACAAUUAUGUUUCUCUUCCAAUCCAAUUUAGCACAUAGAGUAAAAGCUUCAAUUGCACCCAAUGUCAGAUGUCUUUGAUAACUAGAGCUAAUUGGUUAUAUGUAGAGGAAAUUUUACUAUUAGUUCAUCCCAAGCAUAAAUAAAAUAGUUAAUCCCUAAGAAAGCUGGAGUGUAGUAUGAAUCAUGCUGUAAAUUUCUCUGUUAAAAUAAUUUUUCUUAUAUUUGUAGUUUUUUUUCAUGGGACAAGCUUUGAGAAAUCGUUUGGCAAUGAUGAGAGAAGAGAAAGAAAAUCCAAUUUUGAGAAUUCUUAAAAUGAGAAUUGAUUCCCUAAAAAAGAAAGCACUGAACGUGUCUUCAAAGUCAAGCAUUCUUUCAAGAAGAGCAGCAGAAGUAAGAGUGGUGUUAGUGGCAACUUUGUUUCAUUUGAGGAUAUUCAGGAUGCUGAUGAGCUGCAAGCUAUUAAGGCAUUUCGGCGAGCCUUGAUGCUAAUUGCCAAACAAGUUUGAUGAUUGUCAUAUGAUGUUGAGGUUAUUAUAUAACGCUUUUGCUACUUUUAGUCAAAUGUUUGCAAGUACGGAUGGAAAUAUAAAUUGUAUCCUAGUUUAACUUGUAGAUGUCCUUAUUUUGUUCUCAUUACUAUGGAGGUAACUAGACAUCCCUUCCUCUAGUAGGAUAAUUUAUGAUUUUGCUGGAUUAUUUUAUAGUUUUCCCUGUAUUGUAGUCGAUGGUUAAGGUUUGAGGGAUUGCAUUUAUUAGUCUUUCCAGAUAAGUUAUUUUGUUUUUCUUGUAAACAUUUUAGUAUAUAAUUGGAAAAGUAUGCAAAUAUUCAAACUUUUGUUGAUAAUUAU